CCCUUAGAUGUUCUGGGCCGCACGCGUGCUACACCGAGUGGAUCAGCGGGUCAGGUUGCGCGAAAGUGUUUCCUAAUCUUUAAAUCCGCUCGUGAUGGGGAUUGACGGUUGCAAUUUUCCGUCAUGAACGAGGAAUACCUUGUAAGCGCGGGUCAUCAUCCCGCGCUGAAUACGUCCCUGCCCUUUGUACACACCGCCCGUCGCUCCUACCGAUUGAGUGGUCCGGUGAGGCUUUGGGAUCUGAGCGGAAAGAGCGUUUCGCUGUUUCUGCCCGGAAAACUCAGUCGAACCUUAUCAUUUAGAGGAAGGAGAAGUCGUAACA
RNAcentral lists this ribosomal RNA (322 nucleotides) under uncultured eukaryote. RNAcentral's name for it is "partial 18S ribosomal RNA". It matches the Rfam family "Eukaryotic small subunit ribosomal RNA", at positions 1470 to 1796 of the family's 1831-position model. The record is from RNAcentral.